This 214-nucleotide ribosomal RNA is filed under the name uncultured bacterium. RNAcentral describes it as "partial 16S ribosomal RNA". It matches the Rfam family "Bacterial small subunit ribosomal RNA", at positions 524 to 734 of the family's 1533-position model. The record is from RNAcentral.
UACGUAGGGUGCGAGCGUUAAUCGGAAUUACUGGGCGUAAAGCGUGCGCAGGCGGUUUUGUAAGUCUGACGUGAAAUCCCCGGGCUCAACCUGGGAAUUGCGUUGGAGACUGCAAGGCUGGAGUCUGGCAGAGGGGGGGUAGAAUUCCACGUGUGAGCAGUGAAAAUGCGUAGAGAUGUGGAGGAACACCGAUGGCGAAGGCAGCCCCCUGGGU